GAGACAGGGAUACUGGAGUGAUGGAGGUAGAUAUGUAUAGGGGGAAGGAGACAGGGAUACUGGAGUGAUGGAGGUAGAUAUGUAUAGGGGGAAGGAGACAGGGAUACUGGAGUGAUGGAGGUAGAUAUGUAUAGGGGGAAGGAGACAGGGAUACUGGAGUGAUGGAGGUAGAUAUGUAUAGGGGGAAGGGAACAGGGAUACUGGAGUGAUGGAGGUAGAUAUGUAUAGGGGGAAGGGGACAGGGAUACUGGAGUGAUGGAGGUAGAUAUGUAUAGGGGACAGGGAUACUGGAGUGAUGGAGGUAGAUAUGUAUAGGGGACAGGGAUACUGGAGUGAUGGAGGUAGAUAUGUAUAGGGGACAGGGAUACUGGAGUGAUGGAGGUAGAUAUGUAUAGGGGUAAGGGGACAGGGAUACUGGAGUGAUGGAGGUAGAUAUGUAUAGGGGGAAGGGGACAGGGAUACUGGAGUGAUGGAGGUAGAUAUGUAUAGGGGACAGGGAUACUGGAGUGAUGGAGGUAGAUAUGUAUAAGGGACAGGGAUACUGGAGUGAUGGAGGUAGAUAUGUAUAGGGGACAGGGAUACUGGAGUGAUGGAGGUAGAUAUGUAUAGGGGGAAGGAGACAGGGAUACUGGAG
RNAcentral lists this long non-coding RNA (634 nucleotides) under Salmo salar (Atlantic salmon). RNAcentral describes it as "lncRNA (ENSSSAG00000082675.1)". Lineage: Eukaryota; Metazoa; Chordata; Actinopteri; Salmoniformes; Salmonidae. The record is from RNAcentral.